Cricetulus griseus (Chinese hamster) is the source of this 116-nucleotide ribosomal RNA. The record is from Ensembl. Lineage: Eukaryota; Metazoa; Chordata; Mammalia; Rodentia; Cricetidae.
AUCUAUGGCCAUACCUGCCUGAUGCACACAAUCUUGUCUGAUCUCAGAAGCUAAGUAGGGAUGGUGUGGUUAGUACUUGGAUGGGGGACCACGUGGGAAUAUGGGUACUGUGGGCU